UACAGAGGUCUCAAGCGUUGUUCGGAUUCAUUGGGCGUAAAGGGUGCGUAGGUGGCGGGGCAAGUCAGGUGUGAAAUCUCGGAGCUCAACUCCGAAACUGCACUUGAUACUGCCUUGCUGGAGUACUGGAGAGGAGAUUGGAAUUUACGGUGUAGCAGUGAAAUGCGUAGAUAUCGUAAGGAAGACCAGUGGCGAAGGCGAAUCUCUGGACAGUUCCUGACACUGAGGCACGAAGGCCAGGGGAGCAAACGGG
RNAcentral lists this ribosomal RNA (253 nucleotides) under uncultured bacterium. RNAcentral describes it as "partial 16S ribosomal RNA". It matches the Rfam family "Bacterial small subunit ribosomal RNA", at positions 524 to 776 of the family's 1533-position model. The record is from RNAcentral.